Molecule: long non-coding RNA, 2696 nt
Organism: Arabidopsis lyrata subsp. lyrata
Lineage: Eukaryota; Viridiplantae; Streptophyta; Magnoliopsida; Brassicales; Brassicaceae
Exons: 2
Source: RefSeq, a predicted model, not a curated record
ACCACAAUUUGCAAUUGAUCAACUCACUAGGAAUACACGCAAAAGCUUAAUCUAGGCUAAUAAGAUGAUUUGGUUUUGUAAACUUGACUAAUAAAGUAAAUAACAAUCAAACAAUGCAAAACAAAACAAAUGAAAGCAAAAUACAAAAGACUAACAAGUUUCGAAAGUAAACAAAGCGGAAAAUUAACGAGUUACUAAACGAUAACUAAAGGCGAAUUCUCGGGUUAAAGGGAAUUGAUUAGGAAUGAUUAAGAAGUGGAUUAUGGAGCUUCAAACAACUUCUAAUAAGCAAUGAUCCCUAGGCCAUAGAACACUAAGCAACACUAACACAUUUCCAUGACAUUAGUCCAUUUACUAAUCAAUUAAUCAUCAACUUCUUCCAAAGGCAAUCAAUUGACUAACAAGCAUUAUAAACAAGUCUAUCUAGCCACUUAACACCCUAGUCAACAAUUUCCAAAGGUAAGGAAUGUAAAGCACUUAAAGGUUUUGGUUCGGGAAUUUCAUCGAACACCUUCCGGGCAUGAAAUUCCUAAAGUCUAAAUCAACAUGAUCAAGGCUAAUCUAGCUUUAUAAUCAACCAAUAAGUAAGGAUCUUAAGCAAUCUAGCCCUAAACUUCAUAACCCAACAACUAAACCAUCCUAAUCUACUUUAACCCAAGAACUCUAAAUGACUACUCACUCAUGAUCAUGAUUACACAAAGCAAUAGGUUUGAUCUUUGUGAAAUCAUAAUUAGAGAAGGUAGAUAAGAGAUUAAAAGAGAAAUUUGGAUUCAAAACUCAACAAAACCAAAGAUUUAUACAAAAACUUAGAAAGAAACCUUAAGAGAAGUUUUUGAUCUCUAAACAAAACAUAAGACAACCUAAGAUUAGGUUAAGAGUAUUUAUAGGAAAACAUGAAUGAAGCGGGUCAACCCGGAAUGAAGCGGGUCAACCCGGAACAAACCGGGUUUUGACUGCUUAAAUGAUUUGUAGCAAGGAGCAGACGUCCAUAUGGUUGCUUGAUAUAAACUCUGGAAAGGCGUUCAUCUUCAGGGGAAUUCGUAGCAAGCAAGACAUCAUGCUACAAUUGGUCGCUAUGGCUCUUUUCUUCCUUAGGUCUUUUCUUCUUCUUCUCUCUUGAUCAAUUCUUGGGUUCUUAUGGUCCAAAACUCCUCUUUUAACUCCAUUCUUCAUGUCUCUACUCCAAACACCUUAAGACAAAUAACUUGAUGCAAAUGCAAUCUAAACAACCUAAAUGACAUGAAAAUGCAAGAACUUAAAGGUUAAACAAGGCUCAAAAAUCGUUAAAAUCAUAAGAUAUCACUUCCGUUUUUCUUUGCGUUUAGAAUUCACAUUUAUGUAUAAAAUCAUAAGAUAUCACGUUUUUGGAUUAUAGUUUUUUUUAUUUCUUUCUGAAUGAUACAUUUAUUCUUCUUGCAUUAUAGUUUCGCUUACAAAUUAAUGCAAAUGGAAAUGCACAUUCAUUUUUGUUAUCAAUUUUUAUCUGUGAAUUUCAUUAGAUGAAGUGUUGAGGAUUUACAUAAAAGUUUUUUUUUUUUUUUUUCUUUUUUUGUUAAUAGGUUUGACAAAAAGUUGAACCUAAAGCUUUGCCACAAAAAGAAGGGAAAAGUCUGGCUUCUCUUUGCUAAAAGUGGAUCUCUCUGGGUCGCUUGGCACCACCAACAUCACAUUAAAGGUCCCCAUUCACGCCUUUGUUGCAAGCACUUUUAUCCACAACCAGUGGCUUAGUUUGGCCCCAAGAUCUGCUCAAGUAGUUGCUCUACAGAGUCAUUUUUCAAGCAUUAAUCUGCCUCUUCCUUCUGACGAAGAGGAUACCUACACCUGGGACAUAGCUGGUCGAAGCCAUCCAUCCUUUCAAAUUGCUCCAACGUGGGAUGCUUUAAGACCGAAACAGAGAAUCAAAGAUUGCUCUUCAUUCCGAAAAAUGCUUUCACAGUUUCACCAUGUGGAUCUCCUAGCUUGACAGGCUUCCAACUAAGUCUAGGCUUGCUUCCUAACUUGCAUUUAAACGUUCUAUAUCCAAUAUAUCUCAACUUUCUAUAUUAACUUUACUUUUAAACUCUAACUAAAUGAUAACUCGCCUCACGCACAUGAUCAAAUCUAUUCAAGAGAAAGCUAUCUAAAGCGAGAUAUCUCUUGUGUAGUGUUGUACAUCUAACCUAGACGGUCCAUCAUACAAAAGAAAGACAAUUUGAGAGGUUUUAAAAGCCCAACCGAAAAAAUUGCAUUACAAAUCUAAAAAUUUGUAUAAUCUUUCUCAAAUUUUAACAAGCUUUUGACUACGCAGACAAUGGGUCUAGUGUCAAUAGGCAGCAUAAAUAAUUGGGGGCAUGUAAGUAACCCAGUCAUGCCUUCAAAAGUAUUAACCAGCGGUGGUUUGGUGGAACCACAAUGGCGUGGGUUUUGAACCACACAGUGUGGAAGUAUGGGUACACACACCAAGAGACGUUCGGAGAGUCUUCACGGGCAAUGCUCCCAUUCCGCUCCUUUUGCGUGGACAAACGAACGGAGACGACAGCGUUGAUUCGAGACCAACGAACAUCUUCUCUCUCUAUACUAGUAUGUAUUGGGAUCGAAUGUAUUUUGAAAGAUUUGAUUUGGUUUAUUUAUUAUUGUAAAAAUGUAAAUAUGUACCACUAAAGUGUUCAUGUCUUUUCCCAAAACAAUAAAGUAAGCCAACUUGGAUGAUUUGAUAA